UACGGAGGAUGCGAGCGUUAUCCGGAUUUAUUGGGUUUAAAGGGUACGUAGGCGGUUUUUUUAAGUUCAGUGGUGAAAUCCUGCGGCUCAACCGUAGAACUGCCAUUGAAACUGAAGAACUUGAAUAUAGUUGAGGUAGGCGGAAUGUGCAGUGUAGCGGUGAAAUGCUUAGAUAUUGCACAGAACACCGAUUGCGAAGGCAGCUUACCAAGCUAUUAUUGACGCUGAGGCACGAAAGCAUGGGGAUCGAACAGGACUUAGAUA
Molecule: ribosomal RNA, 264 nt
Filed under: uncultured prokaryote
Description: partial 16S ribosomal RNA
Rfam family: Bacterial small subunit ribosomal RNA
Source: RNAcentral